UUAAGCUCAGGCUUGGGCUCUCAAUACCUUUCUCACCUUGGUGUGGGCAUAGCUAUCUCUGGGCUUGCCUCUGGGAUGGACCUCAGCAGUACAGGGUCCCCUUCCAGAUGACGGACAGAAAAGUGUUGGGCUGAUGCCCAUACCUGAUCCUGUCUCACCAGUCCUGCAGGGAGUAUUGUCUGCCCACUGAUACCAGCCAGCAUCACCACUGUGGUUAUGUCCCCCUGCUUGCUGUCCUGCCUUUGGAUCAGAGUUUAUGUGCUCCUGGGGCAUGAGUAAGCAGCUGGCAGUCUAUAGUCCAUAAAAAGGCAGUUGGAGACACCCACAUUUCUUUGCAGUUUGACCCAAAGCACAUCUGUGCUUCCCCAGGCCUCUCGUGUGGGUUCAUCCUCCAGGGCUACACCUAAGAAAUACAAGGAAAUCUAACAGGCCUGAUAAUAUGGGAAAAGGAAGUCACGCAGCUUCACAGUGCUUAAAGCAAGCCUCACAUUAAGUAGCCUACUGCACCGGUCUGAAAGGACAAAUGGGGUCUCCCCAUCAAAAAGCUCCUCUUUCCUGUCUGUUGGACCACAAAAACCAUGCUGAAGAAACACAGAGCAACACCUGGUUCUCCAGGGGUUGUUUUUCAGGUUGCUAGAAGAGGAAAGUAACUGUUUUAACCAUUGCCAGUGUCUCACAGCAGCAUGCAGGUCACUGCACACCUAUUAAAUUAAAAUCUUUGCGCAAAAGAAGCCUUAAAAUGUGAACUUGUGUUUGUGUUUAGAAACAAUACUAAGUGGUAGAGAUGCAUGCUGGAAAUAUAGAGUAGAAGCAGUUGUAGUUUAAUAGCUGGAAGGCAUGGUGAUGGGCAAAGCACCAACCUUUAACCAUCUGUGCCCAACACCCAGAGAACAGGGACCCCAGGGUGACAUGAGCCCCCUUCUCCCACCUCCAUCCCCAACUUGGUGGCCCUGUUGUGCCCAUUUUAACUGACCAGGGAAGUGUCUUUCUGCUCCUUUUAGCCAAAUACGCUCCCUCUACAGCAUAGGGAUGGGAAACCAUAAAGGACAAAUGAGAUUUGAUACACCCUGCCUGGGUCCUUCACUGCCACUGGUACCCAAGAGUACAUUGUCAAUGCCAGAGAGCUCUGAUCUUGUUUCUUGGG
Pezoporus occidentalis (night parrot) is the source of this 1144-nucleotide long non-coding RNA. RefSeq lists it as uncharacterized. NCBI's taxonomy places the organism in Eukaryota, Metazoa, Chordata, Aves, Psittaciformes, Psittacidae. The record is from RefSeq and is a predicted model, not a curated record. The transcript is spliced from 4 exons.